Molecule: long non-coding RNA, 5335 nt
Filed under: Lynx pardinus (Iberian lynx)
Lineage: Eukaryota; Metazoa; Chordata; Mammalia; Carnivora; Felidae
Source: RNAcentral
UUAGGCUCCCCAGAGAAAUUAGUCACAAAGUCUUAUCCCUUCAUUUCCAUUUACAGCCACUUAUUUGGGAGCAAUAAGUUCUAAAAGGGUGAAAAACAAAGACCAUCCUCCCCUCCCCCAGCAUGUAUUCUCAAGUUCACAGGAAGGACUCUCAUUUGCUUUGGGGUACAAAGAGUACCUGUUAACAGCUGCAUCUUCCCAUGGACAAAUCACACGGUGCAUGUUCACAGAAACACAGGACUCCAGGGGAAAAAAAUCAGUCAUUUACUCAACUCGCUUUACCAGACCUGGUCCCUAGAGCUAUACCCAAGCUCUAGAAAAAGGAAAGAAACUCAGUGGAAACCAGCUACGCAAACCUGCACAAAGAGGACUUCUUGGUUCUGAGAAGUCACAGUAACCAGUGGUUGAGAAAUAAUGAAAAGGUAUGAGACCGCGAAGUUGAGCACACAAGAAUGCUUCAGAAAAUGGAAUGUUGACACUGUCGCCAAGUAACUUUCCUUCCAAGUAUUGAUUACUCUCUACAGAUUAUGGAAAAUAUUUGUCUGAGAUGAUAUUUCAACUGUUCUCAUUCUCAGCUAGCAAGUAUAGUAGAGCUAUAGUGAAGCAUGUGUUCCUAAUUUUCCCCCAGAAGUUAUUGAUAUCGGAAUGUUAAGGUGCUAGGGAAAGAAUGAGGAAACUUUCAUAAGGAACCCAAAUGACCUUCUGAGGGUAAGGAGACUACAAGCCCAAUUCCUUGAGAUUCUCCUUAGAGGAGAAUCAUCAGACUGGACUUAGGUGAUCCCAACCACAGGCCAGAACAAGAAGGAGCUACCAACUUCUUUAAUAGAAAACAUCAUGGUGGAAAGAGAUUGGACAAGUGGGCAGUUAUGUACACCAAGACUGACCUAUGAAAGUGAGUAGUGGUUCUGGUUCGUUAAGGCUGUAACUGUCAGAACUUAUAUUUACCAAGCCAUACUGAGCACAAGCAACAUCCUAGGAAAGAAGGAUAUAGGAGAAUCUAAGAGGACACAGAACAACUCAGUGAAUAUCUGAGAACUACUAUGUCUGGGACUGCUGCUGGAAGAAGGAAAUUUACCCCUCCAUUAUCAUGUCUGUGUUAACCCAUUUAGUUUGUAUUUUCCUUAGUGAGAGGCAUAACACCAUCUUUCCCACUUGGUAGCCUGGUACCACAUCACAGAGCUACCAGCUUUAGGGGCUGGUUAUGGCAUCACCCGGCUUCAUGGAGUAUAGUGGACAUGAAAGGUGUCUUGCACCUCCUUCUACAGAGAAUGGAACUAAACCAGAGCACCAACUACUGCACUUUUAAGUCCAUUCCUCUUGGCACAAUGAUCCCACUUUCCAAGGGCUGCUUACUGUCAAUGAUAGAGUAUGGUGGGAAGUCUCCAUCCUGGGAAACAUAGGACUUAUUUGAUGGCUGACCUGGGCACAGGACUUCCCAGUGGCUUUGCUGAUGCUUCCUUAGACUGCCUGGCAGUCUAGCCUGCUCCCUUCUAGCCUUCUUUCCUUAUCCCCUUCCCUGAGUCAGGCCCAUAUUGUGAUCUGACUGCUAACCCAGGCUUCUCUAGGUCCUUUCACACAAGCAUUUCCUUCAAGAAAAUCCCUGCAGUGUUGAACACUAUCUUCACGUCUGCUUCUCAAGGACCAUGACUGACACAGGAAGAAUAUCUGAAUGGCAUUUGGAGGAACAAAGUAGAAGAGGCAAGGAUUGUCUCCUGGAUAUAAAUUAGCACCCUGAAGAUUUCUUGAGAUUAUCAUAAGUAUGGAGUCCAGGGAACACUAUAUAGAGGUUCAAGAUUAUAAAUCAUAUCUGUGACUUUAUCUUAUAUGCAGCACUUUAAAAUAAAUAAAUAUCCAUUAUGCACAUUUAGGCCAGAAGGCAAGCAUCAAAGCAAAAGGUCAUUCCCUAUUCUCAUAACUUAAGGAAAAGUCGGAGCAGAUGAUGUGUACAAUGGGGCAGGCCAAUGUUGUCUUGGCCUUGAUGACCUCCCAAAUGAGCAUUCAGAGUUGUGACCCCCAAGAACUGCCGGGUUUCCAUGUGUGAAGAGUUCAGGAGUUUCCUCCAGAUCCUGUUGGCUUGACCCUAUACCACCAAAAGCCUGAUAAUGAUCUCUCGGUGUUGCUUCAUCCAUCACCAGCCCUUGGGCCCUCCAUAUUCUGUCCGGCCUCACCAGGAAUAGAAUGAGACCACUCUUCUCAGGCAGAUUUCUACCCAGUGCCAAUCCACAUAUAAUUGGUGGUAGAAAUUUCAAUCCUUCAUGUGCCAGCCACUAUGCAAAGCAUUUUACAUUUCGUUUAUCUCAUUCACUCAUUCAACACAUUUAUUGAGUACCUCCUGUGUGUUAUCACUCCCCAAAGAGAGAACAAGGCUAAAAAGUCCCAGCCUGCCUAAAACAUACUUUCUAAUGAGGGAUAGAGACACAGUAAAAAAAAGAAAGCCAACAAAGACAUAUGUUUUAUUAUUAUAUUAUUAUAUAUAUAAUAGAGCCCAACAUGGGGCUUGAACUCAUGACCCUGAGAUCAAGACCUGAGCUGAGAUGGAGUCAGACACUUAACCAACUGAGCCAUUCAGGAGCCCAUCCAAGCCAAUGUUGUUAACCAUUAUGCCUUGUCACCAAGGUGGAUUCCACAACCUUCCUAUUUAUUAUUCUAAAAUCAGAGAGAAAGCCCAAUCUUUAUGUUCUCACUGUUCUUGCUAACACCCUUUGUGACUUUUACAGUCUAAAUGUUUAGGUGCUAAGGAGCCACCUAAGAGACUACAAAGCACUGGCCAUGAUUAUUAUGAUCAUCAAUCAUCAUCGUUAUCACCAUAGCUUUUUUCUAUCCCAAAAUCCCAGUGGCUGGGGAAAGAGAGAGUAACACAGACCCCAAGAGCUUGCAUUUCCUCCUAACAGUUAAGCAGUGUGGGCAGAAGUCCCUGCGGGGAGGUUCUAAAACCAGCCUUCGGCAGGAAAAACUGUGACUCACUAAACCCAUAGAUAUUUAUGUUGGUCUUGCUGCAAAGAACAUCCUUCUCUUCUGGGUAAUAACUGAACCCCAUAAAUAGAUGUUAAACUUCUAUCCAUUCUUCAAAAAUAAACUGGUAGGACUUUUACAAUAUCAUAGUGAGACACACCGUUAGCUCUAUUAGUCAUUUGAUUUUUGCCUUCUUCCCAUUGCCUGCUUUGUUUGCAUCCCCAUCUAAUCCAGAGGCCCUGGGAUAAUAAAGAACCAAGCUCAUGUAUCCAUGGUUUCCCAAACCCUGAGUAAUCAGGAUCCUUAUUCUGUUAGCAAUAAACUUUGGAGGUUGUUUUUUCGUUUUUUUUUUUUUUUUUGCAUGAGCAGACACUGUUUCCCCAGCUUUAUUUCUUGCAUAUGAUCUAAAUAUGUUUCACUAAGCUUUGUAAUAACAAUAUAGCUGUUUGCAGGGUGUUGUCUACAAGAUAAUGAGCAAUUUUGCCUAACAGUCUUUUAAGAGCUGACAUAACCCUGAGGGGAGGGAUCCUCUUGAUUAACUAGUUUAUAUUGAAUUCCACACAGCACCAUUGUUAAUCAAAGCAUACUAUGAUUAUUGUGACAGUUUGUAAUUACUAGCUCAAAAUGGUUUGGAAGUAGUAUUUAUAUGUAUUUUUCCACUCAACCAAUGGGACAUUUUUUUAUAUACAAGUGGAGAUUCAUAUCUGCCAGACUUUAUAUACCUUGGAAGCUUCAUUCUUUUCCCCAGUUCUCUUCUGCUGAUAGUCAACUAAGUGAUCAAGUGGAAAGCCUAAACAACGUUAAGCAUCAUCACACACGAAUGUGGGCAAUUCAUUUAAUUCAAGAAUGGAAAACUGUCCCUGAAGUCCCUGUUUCUUUGGAACCAGAUGAGCCUGGCAAGCCCGGAGAGAAAUGUGAAGAAGCGGCAAUAUUUUUCCCUGCAAAUACCUCUAGUCCUCCUGGUUUCACAAGAGUGGAUUUUGAUUAACCAAGUCUUCUUAGGUGUGCACUAUGUGUUUGAAAAGGGCUUACAGGGUGGCCAGGCACUGAUCAGAAAUCCUCCUAGAGUCUAAAAGUUGGAAGGUAUUUAGUAAGCAGGUAAAAUGAUGAUUUGUCAGGCCAGAUACAGUGUUUCCAGAAUACAUUUUUUUAGGGGCACCUGGGUGGCUCAAUUGGUUAAGCGUCCAAGUUCGGCUCAGGUCAUGAUCUCGCAGUUUGUGAGCUCAAGCCCAGCGUCGGGCUCUGUGCUGACAGCUCAGAGCCUGGAGCUUGCUUCUGGUUUUGUGUCUCCCUGUCUUUCUGCCCCUCCCCUGCUUGUGCUCUGUCUCUAAAAGAAAUAAACAUUUAAAAAAAUUUUUUUAAAGAAUAUACUUUAUUAAAUUCUAUUGCAUUUUUCCUCAUUUUUUGAAAAAAAAACAGAUAAACUGGACAUUCAGGAAUUAACCUGUGGACCAGGGACAGAAGAAAUCCACAUAAAGCAAUCAGGAAGAUAAGACCUCAAGAUCUUUUCCUCUUAGCAGUCUCCUGCUAUUCUUCUUAGUCCAAAUGGUGACAUUUUGCAUUUUCUCCUGACUCUAAGGUCUAUUGUUUCUGACCCUGUCUUAGAUAUCUCUGCUCAGUCCAUGACCUCAGAAUUGUAAUCUCUCAUGGUUAGGAGGGAAAAUGAAAGACACAUGGCAUCAUGUACCCACCAAGCACCCACUGCCCAGUGUCAAGUCUAGAAUGUGUCAGCAUCUUGGUUGGCAACUCUCUGGGUGCUAAGUUGUCAAUCCCUUAAGUGAUGUCCUUGACUGUGGAUGAUGGUCUGGGUAUGGUCUCAAAGUACAAAGUAUAGUGGGAUUUCAAGACAAUACCGCUUGGUCUAGAUCUACAUCCCAGGAAAGGAGCAAUCGUUUACUAAGUUUCAAUGCUGAGGAUGGGAAAAUGUAAUAAAUUCUUCUGAACUUUUUUUUCCACAAGAAUUCCUAUUAAGCAAGAUCUUUCCAUCUAUUGAUGGUUAUUUAUAACUGGCUGGUGAUGAUUUACGAUUCCAUGGCAGUAAUAUGCCUUUUAAAGGGAAACAACAAGCAUUUAAAAAAAAAAAAAGUUUCUCUGAGGAGGAAGUUCACUGUGUCUCUUAUCAUUUCAACUAUGUAGUCAUAUACAUGUUUGCUCUUAGGGACUUUCCAGAACAUGGCCUUAGUUUCUGGUCUCUUUUUCCACUCCCAGGUAUACUACUUGGCUGUGCUGUGUGCUAAGGAUCUAUAAGACAGUGGAUGUGAAUACAAGCAAACAGAAUGUGGGUGGGGUUGGAGGAAGUCACUGCCCAGAGAAUAAGAAGACCACGAUUCUCAACUCAGCUCUGCUGUUAACUAGCUGUGAGGCUUGAGGCUAACUAUGCAGU